GUCCACGCAGUAAACGAUGAGUGCUAGAUGUUGGAAUUUAUUUCGAUGUCGUAGCUAACGCGUUAAGCACUCCGCCUGAGUAGUACGGCCGCAAGGCUAAAACUCAAAGGAAUUGACGGGGACCCGCACAAGCUGUGGAACAUGUGGUUUAAUUCGAUUCUACGCGAAAACCUUACCAGGCUUUGUAUAGUGGUUGUAUACCUAUGAUGAGUAGGUAGUCAUUUAGUUGGACCAUUACAGGUGCUGCAUGGCUGUCGU
RNAcentral lists this ribosomal RNA (258 nucleotides) under uncultured bacterium. RNAcentral describes it as "partial 16S ribosomal RNA". It matches the Rfam family "Bacterial small subunit ribosomal RNA", at positions 793 to 1055 of the family's 1533-position model. The record is from RNAcentral.